GUGAAGGCCGCCAAGGGAAGGAGUGGGGGAUUUGGCACAAGGCUGGUGAUUGAGUCUAUGCUCUCUCCUCCAUGGAAAGAACUAAAUUCAGCUUGACAGAGAGCACACGAAUGGUUUCAGCUUGACAACAAAUGUAUGAAACUUCUUAGCUGUGGACGACAACUACUUCCUUGAGAAGGACCAGCAUCACCCAUCAAGUAUGCCAUCGAGGGCGACGACCGAAGGCAUGAUGAUAGUUCUAUUGUUGUUCUAGUG
Triticum aestivum (bread wheat) is the source of this 255-nucleotide long non-coding RNA. RefSeq lists it as uncharacterized. The record is from RefSeq and is a predicted model, not a curated record. Lineage: Eukaryota; Viridiplantae; Streptophyta; Magnoliopsida; Poales; Poaceae. The transcript is spliced from 3 exons.